GCAGUCGAGCGCCUCCAAGCUAUGGUGAAGGCGCGGCAUACGGCUCAGUAACACGUGGCCAACCUACCCUUGGGACGGAGACAACCCCGGGAAACUGGGGCUAAUCCCCGAUAGGUAAGGAAUCCUGGAAUGGAUCUUUGCUGAAAGGGCGUCUAGACCAUGCUUCUUGACGUCGCCCAAGGAUGGAGCCGCGACCGAUCAGGUUGUUGGCGAGGUAACGGCUCACCAAACCUUUAACCGGUACGGGCCGUGAGAGCGGGAGCCCGGAGAUGGGCACUGAGACAAGGGCCCAGGCCCUACGGGGCGCAGCAGUUGCGAAAACUCCGCAAUACGCGAAAGUGUGACGGGGCUAUCCCGAGUGCCACCCGCUGAGGGCGGCUUUUCCCCGGUGUAUAAAGCUGGGGGAAUAAGGAGAGGGCAAGCCUGGUGUCAGCCGCCGCGGUAAUACCAGCUCUCCGAGUGGUGGGGAUGUUUAUUGGGCCUAAAGCAUUCGUAGCCUGCUUGGCAAGUCCUCCGUUAAAUCCAACGAUUCAAUCGUUGGGCUGCGGGGGAUACUGUCCGGCUAGGGGGCGGGAGAGGCCGACGGUAUCCCCGGGGUAGGGGUGAAAUCCUAUAAUCCCGGGAGGACCACCAGUGGCGAAGGCUGUCGGCUAGAACGUGCUCGACGGUGAGGGAUGAAAGCUGGGGGAGCGAACCGGAUUAGGUACCCGGGUAGUCCCAGCUGUAAACGAUGCAGGCUAGGUGUU
RNAcentral lists this ribosomal RNA (746 nucleotides) under uncultured archaeon. RNAcentral's name for it is "bacterial SSU rRNA". It matches the Rfam family "Archaeal small subunit ribosomal RNA", at positions 53 to 775 of the family's 1478-position model. The record is from RNAcentral.